Molecule: long non-coding RNA, 1924 nt
Organism: Capsicum annuum
Lineage: Eukaryota; Viridiplantae; Streptophyta; Magnoliopsida; Solanales; Solanaceae
Exons: 2
Source: RefSeq, a predicted model, not a curated record
AUCAUCCCCAAGGCUAUUCAACCAAAUUAUAAUUACAUGGAUGUUUAUCAUGGGGCUAUAUUGUUUACUUAAAAUGCAUGUUUUAUUUAAAUUUUAAGGCUCAUUAAAAUACAUAUUAUUUUCAAUGAGGGAAGAGAACAUGCCUUAAGAGAAAACUUUCGUGGAACUCAGAAAAGGGCUCAUGAUAAGAAAAGGAGCUCUAGAGGCCCAGGUUAAAUAAGUCUGCUAACAUGCACUUUCUGAUGGCUCACCGCUGUAAACAACUCCUUCAAACGACAAAUCAACAGAUGAUAAAGGACAAUGAUUCUAGAAUAGUUACACCUGAAUCGGGAGUUCCUCAACAGCUUCGACCAAUCAAUUUCACUCACUUUAUGGGAGGAAGAGAAAACUCAUAAACCCAAUCAUAAUAGAAAAAGAUAAGUCAAUUAGAAACUAUUACACAAGCACCCAUAAAGACAAACGCAGUAGCGAAAGAUCCGACGGAGGUGAUGGAGGAUCUAACCAAGGCGGCAAGGAAGCUCACCUUCUCAGCUAGAAAGAAGAAUCCAAAACCUUCUAUGGCAACCCAACAAGCAAUGUUGCAGCAAUGGGAAGUACAACAUCAACAAAACUUACAGAACCAUGAUGCCGCAGCAAGCAAGUGUCGAGUGGAAAAAAUUAGCCAUGCUGAAAGAUCUAAUCCCUAGACAUUAAUUCAUCAUAUGGAUGACUUUGCACCAAAGAUUAUCAGCAGUGGAUAGAGUUAGUCAAUGGGGCAUCCAAGUGGCUACUAACUGUGUACUGGUGAAACCACAGCAAUAGAGAACCAUGGAUACCUCUUCUUUAGUUGCCCAUACUCCAACUACAUAUGGACUAUGCUACUAAAAUGGAUAGGCAUUUAUAGGAGAAUAAAAGAUUUGAUGGCAGAAGUAUGUUUGAUUACAAAAAAGGUACGUCACAGGAGACCAAAAAUGCAGCUAUUGGGCUUGUUAUUUGCGGCUAUGAUGUACUGUGUAUGGAGAGAAAGAAACCAUAGAAGAUUCCAAAAAAUGAAGCAGAGUGCCAACAACAUUAUCAAAGAAAUUAUCCUACUGGUUCAUCUAGGAGGGAUAAGAAACUGUAAAUGCACUAGUUGCCUCAAGAGUUUAAAUUAUUCUCACAUUUAAUGACUAUCCUGAGGUCUGUUCAGGGAGUUACUAAGAUACAGAUAGACAUAGAGAUAGCUGUAGAAAAAACUAGCUGAGUCCAAAGUUUUCUGUACAUAUUUCUUACUGGUUAAAUAAAAAAUUUCUGUUUGACCGAAAAAGAUCUACUAAACUAUCAAUGUCAUUAAUGAUAUUGAUGGUGACGCUUUCUUAAUGCUCCUAAUGGUUGUGAUAACAUUGUAUAUUUUCCUUCCAAGGGUAUGCAAUUACUACUGUCAAGGCUGCCCUAGUUGCUUCCAAGGGAGCUCGUACAGUGGGUAAGGUUUUUAAGGCAUCCGAUUUUGUUGAAUUUUAAUAUUGAAUUUGUUGCAAAUUAAGUACGAAGAUGAUGUAGCGAAUAAUACUAUUGACAUUUUCAAGAGCAUUGAUGACGCUGUCAAAAGUGUUGAUGAUGUCAUGAUGAAUACAUAUGAGGCUAUUCAGGUUGCAGAAGAUGUUGUCCAGAUUGUAGUUGUUGCCACUGUAACUGUUGUGGCUGUCCAAAGUUCAGUCAAUGUUGCUAAGAAUCAUAUUAGUGUGAUCGGGGCUAAUGUGCCCAAUCCUAAUAGAGUUAGUGUAGUUGUGCUCUCGUGGAUUUCGAAAGGACGUCAGUAUAACAACAACAAAGAUGAUCACAAAGGUGCACAUUACGAUCCCGAAUCUUAGGUGAUUGGUCGAGGUCCUAGCAACAUCCUUCACAUGUCUGCUAGACACAAGAAAUAUACUAACGUGUUUGGUGAAAUAACGAAAGUGUUCUUUUU